GGGAAGGUGGCUCAGUGGUAGAGUACUUGCCUUGCAUGCAUGAGGCCCUGGGUUUGAUUCCUCAGCACCCCA
This 72-nucleotide transfer RNA is filed under the name Dipodomys ordii (Ord's kangaroo rat). It matches the Rfam family "tRNA". From Rfam's summary of the family: Transfer RNA (tRNA) molecules are approximately 80 nucleotides in length. Their secondary structure includes four short double-helical elements and three loops (D, anti-codon, and T loops). Further hydrogen bonds mediate the characteristic L-shaped molecular structure. tRNAs have two regions of fundamental functional importance: the anti-codon, which is responsible for specific mRNA codon recognition, and the 3' end, to which the tRNAs corresponding amino acid is attached (by aminoacyl-tRNA synthetases). tRNAs cope with the degeneracy of the genetic code in two manners: having more than one tRNA (with a specific anti-codon) for a particular amino acid; and 'wobble' base-pairing, i.e. permitting non-standard base-pairing at the 3rd anti-codon position. The record is from Rfam by way of RNAcentral. Lineage: Eukaryota; Metazoa; Chordata; Mammalia; Rodentia; Heteromyidae.